CCGCCUGGCCCAACCGGAUCCUCCUCUCUUUAAAACACCCAUUUUUCCAAAUCCUAAAGGGCGACAAGAGAACGGAAAGAGAACAGACCCCCUUUCUAAAAAACCCUAGCCGCCAGACCUCCCUUUAUUUUCUGAUCUCACUCACUCUCACUCCUCUGCGCUCACCCAAUACGCACACUCAUCCAAUAUCAGCUGGAAAUCCUUGAGAAUAGAUAGAGAAUACGAAAGUUGAGUUUCAGAAAAUUAAGAAAAAGCACCAGAAAGCAAAAACAGUGAAAUUUCAACCAAAUACAAUUAAAAAAGUUGAUUCCAAAGGAUUCUUCUAUGUCAUUUCUGGGUUCUUAAGCUGGAUCUUACCUAUUGGCAAAAGUUGUUUCUGCUGUAGCAUUAUAGUUGCGCUCAUUUUCGUUUUUUCCGACCUUUAUUUGGUUUACAUUUCUUUCCUGUGCUGUUUUCGAGGUAAUCUUCUACUACCUCAUAUGGUUUCUUCUAAUGUACUGAAAUUAGAUUUUUCUCCAGAUCUAUUAUAGCGUGAGAUUGUUAUCUUUAUCUGCUGUUACUAGUUAGAUUUAUGCACUUCGAUUAGUUUGAUCUAUUCAAUGUCUGAAAUCACGGCUGAUCCCUGAUGCAUCUGCUAUUAUUGUAUGGAUUCAGUGAUUUUGAAUUUAGUUUUAACACAAAAUAAAAUGCUUUUGAACUCGAUGAAAACAUAUUUGUAGAUUGGGUCUGGUGUUAUGAAGUAUAAGCAGUUUGUUUGGUUUGAUUCCAGCCCCUGUUUAGCAUUCUAUGCUUGAAAGGAAAAGGGUAACCGAACAGAGAUAAAAUCAGUACCUCAUUGACGGAUAUGGAGAAGAAGAGUGAAAGAACAUGAACUGAGAUUUAGCUUUUAGUUGAAGUGGCGUAAAUUGAUCGUAUUUUCAUAAGUAAUUAUAGAAUAGCCUGGAUGCGUAAUCUUAAUUCUGAAUUAGUUUUGUAUUCUUUUGUUUCCAUUUCAUUGCCCUUUUGGUUGAAAACUAAUGCACGAACAUGUAAGCUCUAACGUAGUAAUGAAUCAGUGUAUGAGAACAAGUGCAAGCAAUUGAUUGAAUCAAAUAUGCCAACUCUAUGACUGUUCGUAAUGAUCAAUUCUUUAAGCACAACUAAUUUCCAUAACCUAUGCCUUUGCAAGAAUCUCAAGACUUAGAAGAAUUAUCAGACUCUUAAACAUCGUAGCUUGCUUUAAGCGCGAUCAAUAAAUUAUCGUGAUUAUGGGUACGAUUCCUGUGGCAUAGUCAUGAUACAUAAUCCCAUUCGGGUGUGCAUUUCAUGUGACCCGAACGUAACUUCUAAUAGUAAUAAAAAUAAACAUGUGGUAAAUCGUGGGUACAUUUCAUGUGGCGCGGUUUGUAACGUGUACCAAAAUAACAAGUGUAGGACAUCGUGACUUGUUCCAGAAAUAAUUCCAUAAAUAUUAAAUGCGGUUCAAAAAUAAAAAAUGCACAAUAGGUUUCAAACAUGAAAUAAAUCAGAUAAUUAGGCCAGUUAUUAACAGUUGAGCGACUGUGCUAAAACUACGGAACUCGAGAGUGCCUCACACCUUCUCCCGGAUUAACAGAAUUCCUUACCCGGUCUUCUGUGAUCGUAGACCAUAAAUAAGAGUCAAUUUUCUCGAUUUGGGAUUUAAAAUAAAGCGGUGACUUGGAACACCAUAAAUUAUCCCAAGUGGCGACUCUGAAAUAAAUAAAUAAUUCCAUUUCGAUGCAUGUCACUUAAAUUGGAAAAAUUUCCUAUCCUCUUCGGAAAAAAGGAGGUGUGACAGUCACUAACUCUUUUUUCCCCCUAUUUUUGUGUCUUGAGUCCAAAAAUGCAUUAUUUUGGUUCCGGACUCUUUCCAGGCUUUGCUAUUUUUUUGGUUAUAAAGAUUGAUUAUUUCUAUGCUGAAAGAUUUGUUUUUUUGUCAGAACUCUUUCUUUUUCUGCUCUAGUUUGGAUUAGUCAAGGCAUUGUCUAGUGAAACUCUUAUUAGCCAUAAAACUUUUCCAUUUAAAAACUGCCGAGUGGAUGUUAUUGAGCUGAUACAGUGAAUGAAUACUGCUAAUUAGCUAGAAGAAAGAACUAGUAGAGUUAAGCAUGGCGUUAAGAAACAAUCAUCGAUGGAUCAGAAUUAAGUCGCAUCGUAAUGGAAGAAGAGAGGAGGGCUGGUAUAUGGUUGUGAGGGAAGAUAGCCAUUGAAGUUUGGAAGUAUAUGGAUCAUCAGUCUAAAAGCAGUAGAAAGUAUAUUGAAGUUUGGAAAGUGUAUUGAAGAAGAAGAUGGUUAUACUAAGCGGAUCGAAGAGGCUGGGGGUUUGGAAAAGCUUGAAUACUUGUCUAAUACUGAAAUUCGAUGUGAGGUUUUUCUAAUAAUGGGUACAUAUUGGCCGUCACUAGGACGUUAUGCUGAGGUGACUUUGACACAUACUUUUCAUCUUCAUACUUUCCAUCUUCAUAUGACUUAACCUUUUCUUGACAUACUUUCCAUCUUCAUAUGACAGAGAUUGCGUAUAUAUAAGAUUGGAGCUCUGACGAUGAAAAAUGGGAGGACCCAAUGUAUUAGUGAUGUCUUAAGGGAUUAACCUGUUGUUAACAUAUUUUCCAUCUUUAUAUGACAGAGAUGGCGUAAAAUGGAAAGGGAUAACUUUUUGACAAAUUUCUUCAUUAUUAUAUUUAUACAUUUCUACUUCUGCCUUGUUAUAAAUGAAAACUAGUCAACUCAUGAUAAACAUGCUUACCAGCUGCAAGGGUACCAUUGGAAUUUAAAUUGUUUGUUUUGUGCUCUAAGGAUUCGUAUUGUUGCAGCAUUCAUGUGUGUACUUUGGCUUGAAUGGACGAAAAACUCAAUUUAUUUUGCAUUUAAUGCCUUUCGUCUUCCAGCCUUGGGGUAUGUUUUUGUGCUACUUUAUCUUUGUAUUGCUGUAAUUUCUCUUAGUUUUCCUUAGAAGAAUUAUCCAAAUAGUCAUUCAUCCAACCGCUUAAACUAAAAAAUAAUUGUGUAUACGAUCAAAACCGGUUAGUCCUUCGUACGAACUGGUCGAAAUGGUAAUGCAUUGGGUCGAAGAGCGUCUUCAUAAUAUCAGGUUGAGGUCCGAGGUCAGGUCACCAAGUUUCGAGCCCUAGGGACCGAUCAAUGUCGAGCUCAAUAUCAUUAUUGAGUUCGAAUCCAAAUUGAACUAUGAUGCAAAGUGAAGUUAUCGAGCUUAUGAGGCAGAGAUCGACCAACACUGACCCCGAAUCAAUACAAGGAUCCGAGUUAGAAUCGAGCUUGAGUCAAGAUCGAGAGCUCGAGUCGAUAUCAAGCUCGAGUAAAUAUCGAGCUCAUAGACAAGAGCCGUUGCAAUCGCACUAGAGGAGAGAAUCCUGGCAGGAAUUAUGGAAAAACUGAUUUAUCAUGGGUCUUCCACUAUGUAUUUUUAAUUAUAUCUAAAGUAGAAUCCCUCCACUAUAAAGGGGAUGGUUAUUAUUUCUGUAAGGACCAAGUUUUUGCAUACAUUGUAACUGAGAUAUCAUACACUCCUAUAUUGAAGAGUUAUCCUUUUUUAGCUUCAUAGAUUGAUUCAUCUUACUUAAUCUAUAAAUCAUCUUCUUCCCAACUUUGCUUAUUUUUCAUUCUCUACAGUCAACACUCAAUAUUUCUAUUCAUUCUUAUGAUUUGUGUCAAGUUAUACUACAUAUCCUUAGAACUACGUACAAAUUUAACUCUAUCCGUUUUUCGGGUAAACAAAUUGUGAAGAUAUCCGCUGAGCCCGUUUUGGUAAAUCCCCCUGCGGCACGUACUACAGUGCCACAAACACCAAGGCAUACUUGCCAUGUGCUAUUAUGAUUAGUUAAUCUGCUACCCGCUCUGUUUCAAUUUAUGUGACAGUUUGAAUCUGAAGGGAGUAAAAAAAAAUGAAGAUUGGUAAAAUUUGUGGCUCUAGACAUGUCAUUUAUGUGGUUAUCAUAGCUUUUCAUUGUGAGAAAAAUAAAAUGUAUAAAGUUAAUUGUUUUUAAAUUUAGAAGAGUCAUUCUUUUUGGAAUGAGCUAAAAAGAAAUAUCAGGAAGAAGGGAUUUCUUUUGAACCAUUAAAAGAAAAAACUCUUUUGUAUUAAUUGCAAGGAAAUUUAGCUGUGUUCUUGGGAUAUUUUAGUUUUACCAUAAAUUGGCUUUUUCUUUUUUAUAUUAAGCAUAUUUUGAACUGGUUAUGACACAUAGUGUAGUGUAAGGACAAGAUAGGAAAGUUUGAGUCGAGCCAGACUAGCUGAUUUGGCACAUAUGGCUAGGAUGCUAUUUAUCUUCUUUUUUUUUUUACUUUUUCCCGUAAUUUAUUUUCAUUUAAAACUUAGUAAAUGAUUAAAAGUCAAAAGUCACGUCUAAUUAAAACCUAACAUUACGGCCGUUCGCCUAAUUUUGGAAAACCCAAUGGCUCAUUAACUUGGCCGUUCUCUAGCCAAUGUUGCUACAUUGGUAGAAAUUAUGUGCUUAUUUUGCUUAGUUUUAUCAUGUGCAGGAUAGAUUAGUUAUUAUUGCCUAAUAUUAUUCGUUUUUUACUUUUUUUUAUAAGUUUUGCUAUGUUUUGAUACUUUUACUUUUGCAAUAUUGGAUACAUAUUUAAUACGGAUAAUGCGUCUCCCUGCCUUUAGGAUUGGGUUAAGUCAGCGUACACACUAAGGGUGGCAAACGGGCGGAUCGGAUCAGAUACCGGACGAGUCGAAAACGGGUAAUGUAAAAA
RNAcentral lists this long non-coding RNA (4722 nucleotides) under Nicotiana tabacum (common tobacco). Its description in RNAcentral is "long non-coding RNA (NTAB_LNC003931)". Lineage: Eukaryota; Viridiplantae; Streptophyta; Magnoliopsida; Solanales; Solanaceae. The record is from RNAcentral.